Molecule: long non-coding RNA, 222 nt
Filed under: Mytilus galloprovincialis (Mediterranean mussel)
Lineage: Eukaryota; Metazoa; Mollusca; Bivalvia; Mytilida; Mytilidae
Source: RNAcentral
AUAGAUAUGAAUAAAUUGGACUAAAGUUUUUGUUUAUAUUUUAAAAGACUUAAGAUUAAGCGAAUUAUGAAAUAAGGCGAUUAACAUGAAUGUAUUGCCUAACAAACUACCGUAACAUACGUCUUUCUUUUCAUAACCGAACCAUUUUUUUGCUAAGUGCAAAUAGUUAUCAAAGGUACCAGGAUUAUAAUUCAGUACGCUAGACGCGCGUUUCGUCUACAU